UACGGGGGGAGCAAGCGUUGUUCGGAUUUACUGGGCGUAAAGGGCGCGUAGGCGGUCAGUGCAAGUCAGUUGUGAAAUCUCCGAGCUUAACUCGGAACGGUCAACUGAUACUGCUCGACUAGAGUGCGGAAGGGGCAACUGGAAUUCUUGGUGUAGCGGUGAAAUGCGCAGAUAUCAAGAGGAACACCUGCGGCGAAGGCGGGUUGCUGGGCCGACACUGACGCUGAGGCGCGAAAGCUAGGGGAGCGAACGGG
RNAcentral lists this ribosomal RNA (254 nucleotides) under uncultured bacterium. RNAcentral's name for it is "partial 16S ribosomal RNA". It matches the Rfam family "Bacterial small subunit ribosomal RNA", at positions 524 to 776 of the family's 1533-position model. The record is from RNAcentral.